UACAGGGGGGGCAAGCGUUGUUCGGAAUUACUGGGCGUAAAGGGCUCGUAGGUGGCCAACUAAGUCAGACGUGAAAUCCCUCGGCUUAACCGGGGAACUGCGUCUGAUACUGGAUGGCUUGAGAUUGGGAGAGGGAUGCGGAAUUCCAGGUGUAGCGGUGAAAUGCGUAGAUAUCUGGAGGAACACCGGUGGCGAAGGCGGCAUCCUGGACCAACACUGACACUGAGGAGCGAAAGCCAGGGGAGCAAACGGG
This 253-nucleotide ribosomal RNA is filed under the name uncultured bacterium. Its description in RNAcentral is "partial 16S ribosomal RNA". It matches the Rfam family "Bacterial small subunit ribosomal RNA", at positions 524 to 776 of the family's 1533-position model. The record is from RNAcentral.